This 357-nucleotide transfer RNA is filed under the name uncultured Microcystis sp. RNAcentral describes it as "partial 16S-23S ribosomal RNA intergenic spacer". The stretch from base 133 to 206 matches the Rfam family "tRNA". Lineage: Bacteria; Bacillati; Cyanobacteriota; Cyanophyceae; Chroococcales; Microcystaceae. The record is from RNAcentral.
AAGGGAGACCUAAUUCCGGUAGGAGACGAAAAAAAAGUAGUCCCUACCAAGAAUCAAUCCCAAAAGGUCGGAACGAGGUAUGUGGCUUUCAAACUAGGUUCUGGGUUCACAAAAGACCUGAAUCAGGAACAAGGGCUAUUAGCUCAGGUGGUUAGAGCGCACCCCUGAUAAGGGUGAGGUCCCUGGUUCGAGUCCAGGAUGGCCCACCUGCACAGGUGGCAAAAACAAGAGAAACGAGGAAUCAGCACCUUAUCUUACUUACAUAGUAAGAGAGAAUGCUGGCUCUGAGUAAAGAGUCCAGAGGAACCUUGAAAACUGCAUAGAGCUAGGUGAAAAAGCCAAAAAAGAAGACCGCAA